UACGGGGGGUGCGAGCGUUAUUCGGAAUUACUGGGCGUAAAGAGCGCGUAGGCGGUCUUUUAAGUCAGGUGUGAAAGCCCGGGGCUCAACCCCGGAAGUGCACUUGAAACUAAGAGACUUGAGUAUGGGAGAGGGAAGUGGAAUUCCUGGUGUAGCGGUGAAAUGCGUAGAUAUCAGGAGGAACAUCAGUGGCGAAGGCGACUUCCUGGACCAAUACUGACGCUGAGGCGCGAAGGCGUGGGUAGCAAACGGGAUUAGAAACCCCAGUAGUCC
This 273-nucleotide ribosomal RNA is filed under the name uncultured bacterium. RNAcentral's name for it is "partial 16S ribosomal RNA". It matches the Rfam family "Bacterial small subunit ribosomal RNA", at positions 524 to 796 of the family's 1533-position model. The record is from RNAcentral.